RNAcentral lists this non-coding RNA (276 nucleotides) under Streptomyces afghaniensis 772. RNAcentral describes it as "Bacterial large subunit ribosomal RNA". It matches the Rfam family "Bacterial large subunit ribosomal RNA", at positions 2017 to 2295 of the family's 2925-position model. The record is from Rfam by way of RNAcentral. Lineage: Bacteria; Bacillati; Actinomycetota; Actinomycetes; Kitasatosporales; Streptomycetaceae.
UGUCUCAACCAUAGGCCCGGUGAAAUUGCACUACGAGUAAAGAUGCUCGUUUCGCGCAGCAGGACGGAAAGACCCCGGGACCUUUACUACAGUUUGAUAUUGGUGUUCGGUUCGGCUUGUGUAGGAUAGCUGGGAGACUGUGAAGCGCUAACGCCAGUUAGUGUGGAGUCGUCGUUGAAAUACCAGUCUGGUCGUGCUGGAUGUCUAACCUGGGUCCUGAUCCGGAUCAGGGACAGUGUCUGAUGGGUAUUUAACGGUGGGCGUUGCCUCCUAAAG